This 257-nucleotide ribosomal RNA is filed under the name uncultured bacterium. RNAcentral describes it as "partial 16S ribosomal RNA". It matches the Rfam family "Bacterial small subunit ribosomal RNA", at positions 524 to 776 of the family's 1533-position model. The record is from RNAcentral.
UACGUAGGGUGCGAGCGUUGUCCGGAAUUAUUGGGCGUAAAGAGCUCGUAGGCGGUGUGUCACGUCGGCCGUGAAAACCUGCAGCUUAACUGUGGGCGUGCGGUCGAUACGGGCAUCACUGGAGUUCGGCAGGGGAGACUGGAAUUCCUGGUGUAGCGGUGAAAUGCGCAGAUAUCAGGAAGAACACCCCGUGGCUAAGGCGGUUCUCUAGUACGGUACUGACGCUGGAGACGCGAAAGCCGUGGGGAGCGAACAGG